UCAGCGACUCAGCACACGCACGCGGACCGGGCCGGUCUUGCUCGGCCGCGGGCGGCUCGGGACUGGGCCGGCUCGGGCGAUGCUGGGCCGGUUCGGCCCAAAAUGGCCGGGCCGGUCCAGUUUUCUUCUUUUUUUUCUUUUAGCCUUUUCUUUUUCCCUUUUUCUUAUUUCUUUGAUAUCUUUUGAUUUUGAACUCCAAAUUGGCCCAAAUAAAUUCCAGAAAAUUUGUAAAAUCAUGUUUUAUCAUGAUUCAACUUUUGGGAGUAAUUUCUCUUCAAAUUAAAAUAUAUAAAAAUACAUUUGCCUUAUAAAUGCCUUUAGGCCUAUAUAACUAUUUAAAUAAAAUAGUUUUCAACUCCAAAUAAUUAUCCAAAAAUUAUGGGAUAGCUUAUUUAUGCAAUAAACCCCUUUUUAUAAAUAAACCCUAUUGGUUUGAAGAUCCAAAGCUUAAAUGGGUGAAAACCCUAGGGUUUAAAUUGAAAUAAAAAUCUUUUAAAGCCUUUUUGAGAUUCAAAUUUGAAUUCAAAUGUGCAAUUAUGGCAUGAUGCUCAUGGAUGCAAUGCAUAUGAAAAGAUUUGAAAUUUUGGGAUGUUAGACUGAGGAAAUCUCAGAUAUGGCAAAGCGGCUGGCCGAAGGCCCAUCCCAGCUAGAUGAAUGGCGGGAGUUUGCUGCACGCUCGGAGCCGACGAGGCUUUGUCGUUCGUACUUUCUUGGUAUGACGG
RNAcentral lists this long non-coding RNA (722 nucleotides) under Brachypodium distachyon (stiff brome). Its description in RNAcentral is "long non-coding RNA (BDIS_LNC003498)". Lineage: Eukaryota; Viridiplantae; Streptophyta; Magnoliopsida; Poales; Poaceae. The record is from RNAcentral.